GUCUCCGUAGCUCAGUGGUAGUAGCGAGAGAUUGCAGCUUAGUUAUCUCUAGGUCAGGCGUUCGAACCGCCUCGGGGACU
RNAcentral lists this transfer RNA (80 nucleotides) under Terfezia boudieri ATCC MYA-4762. It matches the Rfam family "tRNA". From Rfam's summary of the family: Transfer RNA (tRNA) molecules are approximately 80 nucleotides in length. Their secondary structure includes four short double-helical elements and three loops (D, anti-codon, and T loops). Lineage: Eukaryota; Fungi; Ascomycota; Pezizomycetes; Pezizales; Pezizaceae. The record is from Rfam by way of RNAcentral.